UCCUUUGACGUAGCGGCGGACGGGUGAGUAACACGUGGGUAACCUACCUAUAAGACUGGGAUAACUUCGGGAAACCGGAGCUAAUACCGUAUAAUAUUUCGAACCGCAUGGUUCGAUAGUGAAAGGUGGUUUUGCUAUCACUUAUAGAUGGACCCGCGCCGUAUUAGCUAGUUGGUAAGGUAACGGCUUACCAAGGCGACGAUACGUAGCCGACCUGAGAGGGUGAUCGGCCACACUGGAACUGAGACACGGUCCAGACUCCUACGGGAGGCAGCAGGC
This 279-nucleotide ribosomal RNA is filed under the name uncultured Staphylococcus sp. RNAcentral describes it as "partial 16S ribosomal RNA". It matches the Rfam family "Bacterial small subunit ribosomal RNA", at positions 83 to 354 of the family's 1533-position model. Lineage: Bacteria; Bacillati; Bacillota; Bacilli; Caryophanales; Staphylococcaceae. The record is from RNAcentral.